RNAcentral lists this ribosomal RNA (406 nucleotides) under uncultured bacterium. RNAcentral's name for it is "partial 16S ribosomal RNA". It matches the Rfam family "Bacterial small subunit ribosomal RNA", at positions 29 to 526 of the family's 1533-position model. The record is from RNAcentral.
AUUGAACGCUGGCGGCAGGCCUAACACAUGCAAGUCGAACGAGUGGCGGACGGGUGAGUAAUGUCUGGGAAACUGCCUGAUGGAGGGGGAUAACUACUGGAAACGGUAGCUAAUACCGCAUACCAUCAGAUGUGCCCAGAUGGGCUUAGCUAGUGGGUGGGGUAACGGCUCACCAAGGCGACGAUCCCUAGCUGGUCUGAGAGGAUGACCGGCCACACAGGAACGGAGACACGGUCCAGACUCCGACGGGAGGCAGCAGUGGGGAAUAUUGCACAAUGGGCGCAAGCCGGAGACAGCAAUGCCGCGUGUAUGAAGAAGGCAAUCGGGUGGUAAAGUACUUUCAGCGGGGAGGCGUUACCCGAAGAAGAAGCACCGGCUAACUCCAUGCCAGCAGCCGCGGUAAUAC